GGUAGCAAAUGAUGUGAAAUAUUAUAUUGGACACUGAAUCUUUGAUAUUUUUACAAAACUCCGCUUAUUAUCUCAUCUGCA
Molecule: non-coding RNA, 81 nt
Organism: Triticum aestivum (bread wheat)
Lineage: Eukaryota; Viridiplantae; Streptophyta; Magnoliopsida; Poales; Poaceae
Source: Rfam